UUAACUAUUACAUAGUACUCAGACGACAUAAUAAAAGAGUUUUGGGGUCCUCUGGCAGGCACAGACCAGCCAAAGCCGGUGGUCAUGAGACGGGCCUGCCAAAGCAACAAAGGUAUUGUAAACAAAGGGUGGAGAUCUACCCCAAGGGGCAAGUUCUCUGUAAUGAUCCUUCCGCAGGUUCACCUACGGAAA
RNAcentral lists this unclassified non-coding RNA (192 nucleotides) under uncultured fungus. RNAcentral describes it as "sequence contains ITS1". Lineage: Eukaryota; Fungi. The record is from RNAcentral.